Molecule: ribosomal RNA, 465 nt
Filed under: uncultured bacterium
Lineage: Bacteria
Description: partial 16S ribosomal RNA
Rfam family: Bacterial small subunit ribosomal RNA
Source: RNAcentral
CCUACGGGCGGCAGCAGUAGGGAAUCUUCCACAAUGGGCGAAAGCCUGACGGAGCAACGCCGCGUGGGUGAAGAAGGUCUUCGGAUCGUAAAACCCUGUUGUUAGAGAAGAAAGUGCGUGAGAGUAACUGUUCACGUUUCGACGGUAUCUAACCAGAAAGCCACGGCUAACUACGUGCCAGCAGCCGCGGUAAUACGUAGGUGGCAAGCGUUAUCCGGAUUUUUUGGGCGUAAAGGGAACGCAGGCGGUCUUUUAAGUCUGAUGUGAAAGCCUUCGGCUUAACCGGAGUAGUGCAUUGGAAACUGGUAGACUUGAGUGCAGAAGAGGAGAGUGGAACUCCAUGUGUAGCGGUGAAAUGCGUAGAUAUGUGGAAGAACACCAGUGGCGAAAGCGGCUCUCUGGUCUGUAACUGACGCUGAGGUUCGAAAGCGUGGGUAGCAAACAGGAUUAGAUACCCGAGUAGUC